AGAGUUUGAUCCUGGCUCAGGAUGAAUGCUGGCGGUCUGCUUAACACAUGCAAGUCGAACGCACCUUUCGGGGUGAGUGGCGGACGGGUGAGUAACGCGUGAGAAUCUGCCUAGAGGUCGGGGACAACCAUUGGAAACGAUGGCUAAUACCGGAUAUGCCUUACGGGGUGAAAGAUUAAUCGCCUUUAGAAGAGCUCGCGUCUGAUUAGCUAGUUGGUAGGGUAAAAGCCUACCAAGGCAUCGAUCAGUAGCUGGUCUGAGAGGAUGACCAGCCACACUGGGACUGAGACACGGCCCAGACUCCUACGGGAGGCAGCAGUGGGGAAUUGUUCGCAAUGGGCGCAAGCCUGACGACGCAACGCCGCGUGGAGGACGAAGAUCUUCGGGUCGUAAACUCCUGUCGAGCGGGAAGAAGGCUCCGCGGUUGAAUAGACUGCGGAAGUGACGGUACCGCUAAAGGAAGCCCCGGCUAACUCCGUGCCAGCAGCCGCGGUAAUACGGGGGGGGCAAGCGUUGUUCGGAAUUAUUGGGCGUAAAGGGCUCGUAGGCGGACUGGUAAGUCUGAUGUGAAAUCUCCAUCGCUCAACGAGGAGAGGUCAUUGGAAACUGCCAGUCUGGAGUACGGUAGAGGACCAUGGAAUUCCAGGUGUAGCGGUGGAAUGCGUAGAUAUCUGGAAGAACACCGGUGGCGAAGGCGGUGGUCUGGGCCGUUACUGACGCUGAGGAGCGAAAGCCAGGGGAGCGAACGGGAUUAGAUACCCCUGUAGUCC
RNAcentral lists this ribosomal RNA (770 nucleotides) under uncultured Acidobacteriota bacterium. Its description in RNAcentral is "bacterial SSU rRNA". It matches the Rfam family "Bacterial small subunit ribosomal RNA", at positions 8 to 796 of the family's 1533-position model. The record is from RNAcentral. Lineage: Bacteria; Pseudomonadati; Acidobacteriota.